CUCUUCUCUCCUUGUACCUUCGUUCAUCUCACUCAAACCAAACAACCUUCUUCAAACCACCCAGAAACAUUCAUCUCACUCCACAUAGAACCCUUCUUCGUCUUCGACCUUCGUCUCCGACCUUCGUCUCAUCAUUCUCACUCACCCAUAAACUCAUUAAAACCCUAAACCCCAUUAAAUCUCAAUCGAUUGAACUCAGAAUUUUAAACCCUAUAAUUAAAAAUCAAUCGAACCUAGAGAACUCGCUGAAACCCUAAAACCAUCUUUCCCCAUAGUUCAUCAUUGUCCAUCGUUUACCCAGAAAUUCAUCAUUCCUCCAUCUUGUCAUAAGUGGAGCACAUAUCAGGUUGGGAAGACAUGUUUCCACUUGGGGGAGGACACUUGCAUUUGAAGCUGCAAGUUGUAUUUAGUGAUGAAGAGUGUGACAGAAUUCCUAUGAUGUACUACUUAUAUUUCUGAAAUCUCAACAUUCCUAAACUUAGAAAAUUAAUGGUCUUGGGACUUCUUGGUAAGAUGAGGAAGUUGUUGGCCUGGUUUGGAAAAUGGUAGAGGGAAAAUAAAGCAAGACAGUGCCCCCUUCCCCUCAAGUUCUCACACUUACCUUCCAAAGUUUAUGUAACUCAAACAAUUUAACGGUGCUCCAUUUUAUCGUAGUCAUUCAGCUGUUUGAUGGUCUUGAAGCGUAUUUGAUGUGUCGAACUGUUAUCACUCAUAUUGUGUAAGUAACCAUGUACUCAAGUGUAUGUAGCUCAUAAUUUUUUUUGUUUAUCAUGCUUAUUUUUAAUUCUGAAACUUCUGAAUAUUACUCCCGUAGACAUAACUCAUGAGUAGCUUCUUUUCUUAUUAGUGUUAUUAGUUAUGCUUCAUUCAAGUUUGAAC
Trifolium pratense (red clover) is the source of this 879-nucleotide long non-coding RNA. RefSeq lists it as uncharacterized. The transcript is spliced from 3 exons. The record is from RefSeq and is a predicted model, not a curated record. Lineage: Eukaryota; Viridiplantae; Streptophyta; Magnoliopsida; Fabales; Fabaceae.